CGCGUAGGCGGUCUCUUAAGUCAGGUGUGAAAGCCCGGGGCUCAACCCUGGAAGUGCACUUGAAACUAAGGGACUUGAGUAUGGGAGAGGGAAGUGGAAUUCCUGGUGUAGCGGUGAAAUGCGUAGAUAUCAGGAGGAACACCGGUGGCGAAGGCGACUUCCUGGACCAAUACUGACGCUGAGGCGCGAAGGCGUGGGGAGCAAACA
Molecule: ribosomal RNA, 207 nt
Filed under: uncultured bacterium
Lineage: Bacteria
Description: partial 16S ribosomal RNA
Rfam family: Bacterial small subunit ribosomal RNA
Source: RNAcentral